RNAcentral lists this ribosomal RNA (1063 nucleotides) under Dendronotus dalli. Its description in RNAcentral is "eukaryotic LSU rRNA". It matches the Rfam family "Eukaryotic large subunit ribosomal RNA", at positions 42 to 886 of the family's 3401-position model. The record is from RNAcentral. Lineage: Eukaryota; Metazoa; Mollusca; Gastropoda; Nudibranchia; Dendronotidae.
AUCAUUAAGCGGAGGAAAAGAAACCAACCGGGAUUCCCUCAGUAACGGCGAGUGAAGCGGGAUCAGCCCAGCGCCGAAUCCGCCGCGGCCUACAGCCCGGCCGGAACUGUGGCGUGCGGGACGUGGCCAGUCGGUCGGGAGUGUACCCGAGUCCCCCCGAGCGGGGCCCAUCCCAUAGCGGGUGCCAGGCCUCUGCAGGUACGCAUCCGACCGGCCGCUACCGUCCCCGGAGUCGGGUCGCUUGGGAAUGCAGCCCGAAGCGGGUGGUAAACUCCACCUAAGGCUAAAUACCGGCGCGAGUCCGAUAGCGGACAAGUACCGCGAGGGAAAGUUGAAAAGAACUUUGAAGAGAGGGUUCAAGAGCACGUGAAACCGUUCAGGGGUAAACGGGCGGAACCGAAGCGAACGGCCGGCGAGGGUCAGUUCGGAAGGUUUUUCGGGCCGGAACGGUCGCGUCGCGUCAGAUGAUCGGGUUCGCUCGUUUAUCGGCCGGCCGGUCGUUUUUCCGGUCCCCUUCCGGGCGCACCCCUCGUCGGCCAGAGCCGCGACCGGCUCCGAGCCUCCUCCCGGACGUCGUCGGAACCGUUCCCGCGAGGGAACUGGGGAGGCGGUCGUUCAACGAGAGCGAGGCACGGGGUCGAGGAGAGGGCCGCGUGGUUAUGGGUGGAUCGGGUGUCGGGGGCGAGCUCCUUCGGGCGCGAACCUCCGCAUUCGGUUCCCCGCCCGCCCCUGGUCAGCGGCGAAGAGCGGACGGCUGUCCACCCGACCCGUCUUGAAACACGGACCAAGGAGUCCGACGCGCGCGCGAGUCGCGGGGUUUCACGAAACCCGCGGGCGCAGUGAAAGCGAGGGUCGCGUAGGUCGGCCCAGGCGAGAUCCCUUUGGUUUCGCGUCGACUCCCGCGAGGGGGUUUGGCGCGUCCUCGGGCGCAUCGCCGGCCCGUCCCAUGUCGCGUUGUCGGCGGGGCGGAGCGAGAGCGCGCGCGUCGGGACCCGAAAGAUGGUGAACUACGCUUGGGCAGGGCGAAGCCGGGGGAAACCCCGGUGGAGGMCCGCAGMGACUC